Molecule: ribosomal RNA, 721 nt
Filed under: uncultured bacterium
Lineage: Bacteria
Description: bacterial SSU rRNA
Rfam family: Bacterial small subunit ribosomal RNA
Source: RNAcentral
CGCUGCGGGUGCUACACAUGCAGUCGAACGAGAAAGUGGAGCAUCCAUGAGUAAAGUGGCGACCGGGUGAGUAACACGUGACUAACCUACCUUCAAGUGGGGGAUAACCUCGGGAAACCGGGGCUAAUACCGCAUAACAUCUCUGGGGCGGAAGAACUGGAGAUCAAAGGAGCAAUUCGCUGGAAGAGGGGGUCGCGGCUGAUUAGUUAGUUGGCGGGGUAAUGGCCCACCAAGACAGAGAUCGGUAGCCGGCCUGAGAGGGCGCACGGCCACACUGGAACUGAAACACGGUCCAGACUCCUACGGGAGGCAGCAGUGGGGAAUUUUGCGCAAUGGGGGAAACCCUGACGCAGCAACGCCGCGUGGAGGAUGAAGUCCCUUGGGACGUAAACUCCUUUCGACCGGGACGAUAAUGACGGUACCGGUGGAAGAAGCCCCGGCUAACUUCGUGCCAGCAGCCGCGGUAAUACGAGGGGGGCAAGCGUUGUUCGGAAUUAUUGGGCGUAAAGGGCGCGUAGGCGGUGUUGUAAGUCACCUGUGAAACCUCUAGGCUUAACCUAGAGCCUGCAGGCGAAACUGCAAUGCUGGAGGGUGGGAGAGGUGCGUGGAAAUUCCCGGUGUAGCGGUGAAAAUGCGUAGAUCUCGGGAGGGAACAACCUGUUGGCGAAAGCGGCGCACUUGGACCACUACUUGACGCUUGAGGCGCGAAAAGCCGGGGGGA